Long non-coding RNA from Mytilus californianus (California mussel), 130 nucleotides. RefSeq lists it as uncharacterized. The record is from RefSeq and is a predicted model, not a curated record. Lineage: Eukaryota; Metazoa; Mollusca; Bivalvia; Mytilida; Mytilidae. The transcript has 3 exons.
GGUUAAAAAACUGAAAAUUAUAUUGUGAAAUUGACAAAAUGAGAUUAGGGGGGUAGGUCACUAAAAGAAAAAUUUGGACCAUUUUAAAGAGAUUGUGACGGGCAACGACUAUAGAGGUGAGGUAGAGGAG